This is a non-coding RNA of Gossypium arboreum, 107 nucleotides long. NCBI's taxonomy places the organism in Eukaryota, Viridiplantae, Streptophyta, Magnoliopsida, Malvales, Malvaceae. The record is from Rfam.
AACCCAUGGUAAGGGCACCUUCUCAAUAAAUCCUUGUAUCUCUCUCGUGCAUCAUAUAAGGUCUUUAAGUCGAUUUGAGCGAAGAAAGAUAUAUCAUUCCUCAACUU